This 253-nucleotide ribosomal RNA is filed under the name uncultured bacterium. Its description in RNAcentral is "partial 16S ribosomal RNA". It matches the Rfam family "Bacterial small subunit ribosomal RNA", at positions 524 to 776 of the family's 1533-position model. The record is from RNAcentral.
UACAGGGGGUGCAAACGUUGCUCGGAAUUAUUGGGCGUAAAGCGCGCGUAGGCGGCUACUUAAGUCGGAUGUGAAAGCCCUUGGCUCAACUGAGGAAGUGCACCCGAAACUGAGUGGCUUGAGUACUAAAGAGGGUCGCGGAAUUCCUGGUGUAGCGGUGAAAUGCGCAGAUAUCAGGAGGAACACCGGUGGCGAAGGCGGGUCUCUGGGCCGAUACUGACGCUGAGGAGCGAAAGCGUGGGGAGCGAACAGG